This 401-nucleotide ribosomal RNA is filed under the name Monodelphis kunsi (Pygmy short-tailed Opossum). RNAcentral describes it as "partial 16S ribosomal RNA". It matches the Rfam family "Bacterial large subunit ribosomal RNA", at positions 1911 to 2493 of the family's 2925-position model. The record is from RNAcentral. Lineage: Eukaryota; Metazoa; Chordata; Mammalia; Didelphimorphia; Didelphidae.
ACUUAAUCUUAAACGGCCGCGGUAUCCUGACCGUGCAAAGGUAGCAUAAUCACUUGUCUCCUAAAUAGAGACUUGUAUGAAUGGCAAGACGAGGGUUUAACUGUCUCUUUUUCUUAAUCAAUGAAAUUGACCUACCCGUGCAGAGGCGGGUAUAAUAGUAUAAGACGAGAAGACCCUGUGGAGCUUGAAAUUACAGCUUAAAUUAUUUCACUUUAUAAUCCUAAUGGACCUAAAUUCUUUAAUAAUUAAGUUGAAUUUUUGGUUGGGGUGACCUCGGAGCACAAAAAAACCUCCGAAUGAUAUAACCAAGAUUUACCAAUCCAAGUACUACUAGUCAGUAAUUGACCCAUAUAUUGAUCAACGGAACAAGUUACCCCAGGGAUAACAGCGCAAUCCUAUUC